AAAGUAAAAUUUCGUGGAGGUCCGAACCCACGAGCGUUGAAAAGCUCGGGGAUGACUUGUGGGUAGCGGUGAAAUUCCAAUCGAGCCCGGAGAUAGCUGGGUCUCCCCGAAAUAGCUUUAGGGCUAGCCUCAAGGUGAGAGAUACGGAGGAAGAGCACUGAAUGUCCUAGGGGGUAUUGCACCUACCGAAGACUAUCAAACUCCGAAUGCCG
This 212-nucleotide ribosomal RNA is filed under the name Clostridioides difficile. Its description in RNAcentral is "partial 23S ribosomal RNA". It matches the Rfam family "Bacterial large subunit ribosomal RNA", at positions 753 to 965 of the family's 2925-position model. Lineage: Bacteria; Bacillati; Bacillota; Clostridia; Peptostreptococcales; Peptostreptococcaceae. The record is from RNAcentral.